GAUGAACGCUGGCGGCGUGCCUAAUACAUGCAAGUCGAGCGAACAGACGAGGAGCUUGCUCCUCUGACGUUAGCGGCGGACGGGUGAGUAACACGUGGAUAACCUACCUAUAAGACUGGGAUAACUUCGGGAAACCGGAGCUCAUACCGGAUAAUAUAUUGAACCGCAUGGUUCAAUAGUGAAAGACGGUUUUGCUGUCACUUAUAGAUGGAUCCGCGCCGCAUUAGCUAGUUGGUAAGGUAACGGCUUACCAAGGCAACGAUGCGUAGCCGACCUGAGAGGGUGAUCGGCCACACUGGAACUGAGACACGGUCCAGACUCCUACGGGAGGCAGCAGUAGGGAAUCUUCCGCAAUGGGCGAAAGCUUGACGGAGCAACGCCGCGUGAGUGAUGAAGGUCUUCGGAUCGUAAAACUCUGUUAUUAGGGAAGAACAAAUGUGUAAGUAACUAUGCACGUCUUGACGGUACCUAAUCAGAAAGCCACGGCUAACUACGUG
RNAcentral lists this ribosomal RNA (497 nucleotides) under uncultured bacterium. RNAcentral describes it as "partial 16S ribosomal RNA". It matches the Rfam family "Bacterial small subunit ribosomal RNA", at positions 28 to 507 of the family's 1533-position model. The record is from RNAcentral.